RNAcentral lists this ribosomal RNA (984 nucleotides) under Subtercola frigoramans. RNAcentral describes it as "bacterial SSU rRNA". It matches the Rfam family "Bacterial small subunit ribosomal RNA", at positions 390 to 1383 of the family's 1533-position model. Lineage: Bacteria; Bacillati; Actinomycetota; Actinomycetes; Micrococcales; Microbacteriaceae. The record is from RNAcentral.
AGCACGCCGCGUGAGGGAUGACGGCCAUUCGGGUUGUAACCUCUUUUAGUAAGGAAGAAGAACUUCGGUUUGACGGUACUUGCAGAAGAAGCACCGGCUAACUACGUGCCAGCAGCCGCGGUAAUACGUAGGGUGCAAGCGUUGUCCGGAAUUAUUGGGCGUAAAGAGCUCGUAGGCGGUUUGUCGCGUCUGCUGUGAAAUCUGGAGGCUCAACCUCCAGCCUGCAGUGGGUACGGGCAGACUAGAGUGCGGUAGGGGAGAUUGGAAUUCCUGGUGUAGCGGUGGAAUGCGCAGAUAUCAGGAGGAACACCGAUGGCGAAGGCAGAUCUCUGGGCCGUAACUGACGCUGAGGAGCGAAAGCAUGGGGAGCGAACAGGAUUAGAUACCCUGGUAGUCCAUGCCGUAAACGUUGGGAACUAGAUGUAGGGGCCAUUCCACGGUUUCUGUGUCGCAGCUAACGCAUUAAGUUCCCCGCCUGGGGAGUACGGCCGCAAGGCUAAAACUCAAAGGAAUUGACGGGGGCCCGCACAAGCGGCGGAGCAUGCGGAUUAAUUCGAUGCAACGCGAAGAACCUUACCAAGGCUUGACAUAUACCGGAAACCUGCAGAAAUGUAGGCCCCGCAAGGUCGGUAUACAGGUGGUGCAUGGUUGUCGUCAGCUCGUGUCGUGAGAUGUUGGGUUAAGUCCCGCAACGAGCGCAACCCUCGUUCUAUGUUGCCAGCACGUUAUGGUGGGAACUCAUAGGAGACUGCCGGGGUCAACUCGGAGGAAGGUGGGGAUGACGUCAAAUCAUCAUGCCCCUUAUGUCUUGGGCUUCACGCAUGCUACAAUGGCCGGUACAAAGGGCUGCGAUACCGUAAGGUGGAGCGAAUCCCAAAAAGCCGGUCUCAGUUCGGAUUGAGGUCUGCAACUCGACCUCAUGAAGUCGGAGUCGCUAGUAAUCGCAGAUCAGCAACGCUGCGGUGAAUACGUUCCCGGGCCUUG